AUUGAACGCUGGCGGCAGGCCUAACACAUGCAAGUCGAACGAGUGGCGGACGGGUGAGUAAUGUCUCGGAACGUCCCUAGUGUAGGGGGAUAACUGUUCGAAAGGAUAGCUAAUACCGCAUAUUAUUCGAUCGGCCGCUGUGGGAUUAGCUAGUUGGGGGGGUAAAGGCCCACCAAGGCGACGAUCCGUAGCGGGUCUGAGAGGAUGAUCAGCCACACUGGAACUGAGACACGGCCCAGACUCCUACGGGAGGCAGCAGUGGGGAAUAUUGCACAAUGGGCGCAAGCCUGAUGCAGCCAUGCCGCGUGUGUGAAGAAGGCCUUCGGGUUGUAAAGGACGUUUGUCAAGGAAGCGGUACCUGAAGAAGAAGCACCGGCUAACUACGUGCCAGCAGCCGCGGUAAUAC
Molecule: ribosomal RNA, 406 nt
Filed under: uncultured bacterium
Lineage: Bacteria
Description: partial 16S ribosomal RNA
Rfam family: Bacterial small subunit ribosomal RNA
Source: RNAcentral